This 378-nucleotide ribosomal RNA is filed under the name uncultured cyanobacterium. RNAcentral's name for it is "bacterial SSU rRNA". It matches the Rfam family "Bacterial small subunit ribosomal RNA", at positions 377 to 770 of the family's 1533-position model. The record is from RNAcentral. Lineage: Bacteria; Bacillati; Cyanobacteriota.
GCAAGCCUGACGGAGCAAUACCGCGUGAGGGAGGAAGGCCUUUGGGUUGUAAACCUCUUUUCUUAAGGAAGAAGAUCUGACGGUACUUAAGGAAUCAGCAUCGGCUAACUCCGUGCCAGCAGCCGCGGUAAUACGGAGGAUGCAAGCGUUAUCCGGAAUUAUUGGGCGUAAAGCGUCCGCAGGCGGCAUUAUAAGUCUGCUGUCAAAGACCGCAGCUCAACUGCGGAAAGGCAGUGGAAACUGUAAAGCUAGAGUACGGUAGGGGUAGAGGGAAUUCCCAGUGUAGCGGCGAAAUGCGUAGAUAUUGGGAAGAACACCAGUGGCGAAAGCGCUCUACUGGGCCGUAACUGACGCUCAGGGACGAAAGCUAGGGGAGCG